GGCCUCGGGGUGUGACACGUGAGAUUGCAAAUCCCAAGAAGCAGGUAGUUCCUGCCGGGGCUU
RNAcentral lists this transfer RNA (63 nucleotides) under Eupsophus emiliopugini. Its description in RNAcentral is "tRNA-Cys". The record is from RNAcentral. RNAcentral also lists the same sequence under 1 other name. Lineage: Eukaryota; Metazoa; Chordata; Amphibia; Anura; Alsodidae.